RNAcentral lists this ribosomal RNA (440 nucleotides) under uncultured bacterium. RNAcentral's name for it is "partial 16S ribosomal RNA". It matches the Rfam family "Bacterial small subunit ribosomal RNA", at positions 338 to 795 of the family's 1533-position model. The record is from RNAcentral.
CCUACGGGAGACUGCAGUGGGGAAUAUUGCACAAUGGGGGAAACCCUGAUGCAGUGACGCCGCGUGAGUGAAGAAGUAUUUCGGUACGUAAAGCUCUAUCAGCAGGGAAGAAAAUGACGGUACCUGACUAAGAAGCCCCGGCUAACGACGGGCCAGCAGCCGCGGUAAUACGUAGGGGGCAAGCGGUAACCGGAUUUACUGGGUGUAAAGGGAGCGGAGACGGCAGCACAAGUCUGGAGUGAAAUCCCAUGGGUUAACCAUAGAAGUGCUUUGGAAACUGUGCAGCUAGAGUGCAGGAGAGGUAAGCGGAAUGCCUAGUGUAGCGGUGAAAUGCGUAGAUAUUAGGAGGAACACCAGUGGCGAAGGCGGCUUACUGGACUGUAACUGACGUUGAGGCUCGAAAGCGUGGGGAGCAAACAGGAUUAGAUACCCCAGUAGUC